GAUGAACGCUGGCGGCGUGCCUAACACAUGCAAGUCGUACGAGCUCGAUCUUCGGAACGGGUUAGUGGCGCACGGGUGAGUAACACGUAGGUGACCUACCCCAGAGUGGGGGAUAACUUCUCGAAAGAGAGGCUAAUACCGCAUACACUCGGUCAUUCAUUUGGCCGAGCAAAGCUCCGGCGCUUUGGGACGGGCCUGCGUCCGAUUAGCUAGUUGGUAGGGUAAUGGCUUACCAAGGCUUUGAUCGGUAGCUGGUCUGAGAGGACGAUCAGCCACACUGGCACUGACACACGGGCCAGACUCCUACGGGAGGCAGCAGUGAGGAAUAUUGGGCAAUGGGCGAAAGCCUGACCCAGCAACGCCGCGUGAGGGAUGAAGGCCUUCGGGUUGUAAACCUCUUUUCUGGGAGAAGAGACAAGGACGGUAUCCCAGGAAUAAGUCUCGGCUAACUACGUGCCAGCAGCCGCGGUAAU
RNAcentral lists this ribosomal RNA (473 nucleotides) under uncultured bacterium. Its description in RNAcentral is "bacterial SSU rRNA". It matches the Rfam family "Bacterial small subunit ribosomal RNA", at positions 28 to 524 of the family's 1533-position model. The record is from RNAcentral.